RNAcentral lists this ribosomal RNA (468 nucleotides) under uncultured bacterium. RNAcentral's name for it is "partial 16S ribosomal RNA". It matches the Rfam family "Bacterial small subunit ribosomal RNA", at positions 28 to 507 of the family's 1533-position model. The record is from RNAcentral.
GACGAACGCUGGCGGCGUGCUUAACACAUGCAAGUCGAACGGAAAGGCCCUGCUUUUGUGGGGUGCUCGAGUGGCGAACGGGUGAGUAACACGUGAGUAACCUGCCCUUGACCUUGGGAUAACUUCAGGAAACUGGGGCUAAUACCGGAUAGGAGCUCCUGCUGCAUGGUGGGGGUUGGAAAGUUUCGGCGGUUGGGGAUGGACUCGCGGCUUAUCAGCUUGUUGGUGGGGUAGUGGCUUACCAAGGCUUUGACGGGUAGCCGGCCUGAGAGGGUGACCGGCCACAUUGGGACUGAGAUACGGCCCAGACUCCUACGGGAGGCAGCAGUGGGGAAUAUUGCACAAUGGGCGGAAGCCUGAUGCAGCAACGCCGCGUGCGGGAUGACGGCCUUCGGGUUGUAAACCGCUUUCGCCUGUGACGAAGCGUGAGUGACGGUAAUGGGUAGAGAAGCACCGGCUAACUACGUG